RNAcentral lists this ribosomal RNA (446 nucleotides) under uncultured bacterium. RNAcentral describes it as "bacterial SSU rRNA". It matches the Rfam family "Bacterial small subunit ribosomal RNA", at positions 329 to 792 of the family's 1533-position model. The record is from RNAcentral.
UGCCAGACUCCUACGGGAGGCAGCAGUGGGGAAUAUUGCACAAUGGGGGAAACCCUGAUGCAGCGGCGCCGCGUGAGCGAUGAAGUAUUUCGGUAUGUAAAGCUCUAUCAGCAGGGAAGAAGAUGACGGUACCUGACUAAGAAGCCCCGGCUAACUACGUGCCAGCAGCCGCGGUAAUACGUAGGGGGCAAGCGUUAUCCGGAUUUACUGGGUGUAAAGGGAGCGUAGACGGCGAUGCAAGCCAGAUGUGAAAGCCCGGGGCUCAACCCCGGGACUGCAUUUGGAACUGUGUGGCUGGAGUGUCGGAGAGGCAGGCGGAAUUCCUAGUGUAGCGGUGAAAUGCGUAGAUAUUAGGAGGAACACCAGUGGCGAAGGCGGCCUGCUGGACGAUGACUGACGUUGAGGCUCGAAAGCGUGGGGAGCAAACAGGAUUAGAUACCCUUGUA